This 119-nucleotide ribosomal RNA is filed under the name Pteropus alecto (black flying fox). Lineage: Eukaryota; Metazoa; Chordata; Mammalia; Chiroptera; Pteropodidae. The record is from RNAcentral.
GUCUACGGCCAUGCCACCCCGAACGUGUCCGAUCUCGUCUGAUCUCAGAAGCUAAGCAGUUUCGGGCCUGGUUAGUACUUGGAUGGGAGAACACCUAGGAAGACCAGGUACUGUAGGCA